UCCCUGGUGGUCCAGUGGCUAAGACUCCAUGUUUCCAAUACAGGGGAACCAGGUUCGAUUCCUGGUCAGGGAA
This 73-nucleotide transfer RNA is filed under the name Capra hircus (goat). It matches the Rfam family "tRNA". From Rfam's summary of the family: Transfer RNA (tRNA) molecules are approximately 80 nucleotides in length. Their secondary structure includes four short double-helical elements and three loops (D, anti-codon, and T loops). Lineage: Eukaryota; Metazoa; Chordata; Mammalia; Artiodactyla; Bovidae. The record is from Rfam by way of RNAcentral. RNAcentral also lists the same sequence under 2 other names.